This 72-nucleotide transfer RNA is filed under the name Camelus bactrianus (Bactrian camel). It matches the Rfam family "tRNA". Rfam says of the family: Transfer RNA (tRNA) molecules are approximately 80 nucleotides in length. Their secondary structure includes four short double-helical elements and three loops (D, anti-codon, and T loops). Further hydrogen bonds mediate the characteristic L-shaped molecular structure. tRNAs have two regions of fundamental functional importance: the anti-codon, which is responsible for specific mRNA codon recognition, and the 3' end, to which the tRNAs corresponding amino acid is attached (by aminoacyl-tRNA synthetases). tRNAs cope with the degeneracy of the genetic code in two manners: having more than one tRNA (with a specific anti-codon) for a particular amino acid; and 'wobble' base-pairing, i.e. permitting non-standard base-pairing at the 3rd anti-codon position. Lineage: Eukaryota; Metazoa; Chordata; Mammalia; Artiodactyla; Camelidae. The record is from Rfam by way of RNAcentral. RNAcentral also lists the same sequence under 1 other name.
GAGGGUAUAGCUCAGUGGUAGAGUGCCUGCUUAGCAUGCAUGAGGUUCUGGGUUCAACCCCCAGUACCUCCG